Molecule: unclassified non-coding RNA, 310 nt
Filed under: Thelephoraceae sp.
Lineage: Eukaryota; Fungi; Basidiomycota; Agaricomycetes; Thelephorales; Thelephoraceae
Description: partial contains 5.8S ribosomal RNA, internal transcribed spacer 2, and large subunit ribosomal RNA
Source: RNAcentral
CGCACCUUGCGCCCCUUGGAUAUUCCUCGGGGCAUGCCUGUUUGAGUAUCAUGAACACCUCAACUCUCACGGUCUUCCGUGACGAGCUUGGACUUUGGAGGUUUGCUGGCCCUACGACCGGCUCCUCUCAAAUGAAUCAGCUUGCCAGUGUUUGGCGGCGCCAUGGGUGUGAUAACUAUCUACGCUCGUGGUCGCCUGCCAGGUAACCCUCAGCGAUGAAGGUUCAUUGGAGCUCACAGACGUCUCUCCUCGUGGGGACAACUUUUGAACGUUCGAUCUCAAAUCAGGUAGGACUACCCGCUGAACUUAA